GGCUCGGCUUAGAGCUUCAUGUUACAGAGCUGGUGUGGCUGACAAAAUCCCAGUGCCAAUAGGGGGCGCCACAGACUGUGCAGAACUGACUACGCAGAGGCGUGAUCAAGACGGCGGCAGCCAAGCUUCUGCACAGGAUGGAAGGGAGGUAAAGGCUGCAGCGGAGGCAUGGGGAAGUCAGAAGUUGCGGGAUGUAACAGGAUCUGAACACAACUGCCUGCACCACAAGUGUUUUUCAUGGAGCGCUGCCUAAACUACGAAGCAUCACGGAACAAUGCACUUCUAAGUCGGAUGCUUAAUAAAUCAGCCAGGCGUGCAUUAUUAUGCCGCGAAGGACCCCUUGUUGCCUCUUAAUGCUCAAUUAUACAGCGCAGAAUCUGGGUCGGGCUUUCUAUCAUCUCGGAUGUGUGGUGGGAAGGGCCCAGCUCUAAUCGCUCCACGUGGGAAUGGAUUCAUCUGUGUCUUGGAGGAGUAACUCACUUUGAUUGACAUUUAGACGGAAGGGGCCUUACUAGAAUCACAGGCUCAGAGAACUCUAGACCUUGACAGAGACCUUAGAAGUAGUCCUGGUCCAAUCUGCUCAUGCUACAGGUGGGAAAAUUGAGGCUCAGAGAGAGGAAGUUACUUGCCCAAGGUCAUAAAGUAAGUGGCAACUGGGCCGUCGAGUCAGGUCACUGAUUCUGAAUCCAGCAGUUGCUUUCCAGCCACCACUGCCUUUCCUGUGUCUACAGCAGAUGCCACGGACAGGGACGUCCUCCUGCCAUCUGACUCUGAAGCUAAAGACCUUCCGGAAGAAGCUGUGCCUUGUUUGGUUGAAUAAAAAUGGACAACGGGUUAAAAGAACAGCAAACUUCCAUAUGUUAUGGAUCCCUAGGGACUCAGUGAACUCAUGCUCCCAGAUUAAAGGGAAGGGGAAAACCAUGCCCUCUUGCUGAACGAUGCUGCCUGCUGGGUCCCCAGCACCCCAGCGGUCUCCGGAAUGGAGAUCGUCAUGCAUGACAGCUGGAGAGCAUUAUCGCUUGAAGAUGAGAAAACUGAGGACCAGAGAGGAGAAGUCAUUUGUCCGAAUGCACAGGGAUGAUUUACAGCAGAUUUGGAACUAGAAUUCCAGCCUUUGGCUCCUUGUUAGAUGCUUUCUCUGCACUGAGUUUUCCAGGACUCAUCCCAAGCACUGAGUCUCAUGGGCAUCUGUGACCUCAAGGAUGGCUGACAAGUGCGUCCUGGUGGAGUACCAAGAAAGAAGAGGAAAUGGAGCCUUUGUGAAUGGCUGGUGGCCUUUGACACAAGCUCUAAAUGGUAGAAAUUAUUCUUCCCAUUUCACAGUAAUGAAAGCUGGCUGAGCUGAAACCCAGAGCAUAAUUUCUCACUGGCUGGCUGCUCCAGAUAGUAAUAGCUUCAGUGCCCUUCAGAAUGGAAUUUUUCUGAGAUUGUGAAGCUGGGUGAGGUGUGCCUGGCAGUCUGACAAAAUCAACAUCGGUGUGGAAGUCAUGGAAAGCCACAGCACGCUGAAUGGAAAAGAUUAUUCACACCUGUUGUUUGGAAAUCCUUCUCAAAUGAGAAAAUAUCGUCCUCUUUAGGCCAAUGGGAGAAGGGGAGGAAAGUAAAUGAACUUCAAAGAGAAAUGCUGCAAGAUACUUCCCGUCCAGCCCUCCUGCCCUCUUCCAAAUUAUCUUGAUGUCUGUUUCAGCCCUAAGUCAACAUUUUUGGGACCCUAAGAGCAACUUUGAUGAAAAAAGUCUCCAGAAAAUUUGGGACACUCUUGUAAUCACUGGUCAAAAUAAACAGAAAAUUGAUGAGAAUGUGUAAGUGGUAGUUUUGAACAGCAACCAUUUUUUUUUAGUUCACGAUUUGCAUGUUGGCCAUCUGGGCUGGGCUCAGUGAGUGGUUCUGCUGAUCUAGACAUGGGGAUUGGCUAGCCUGGUCUGGGGCUCAAGUCAUGUGUCUGCAGUCAGCAGCUGGGUCAGUUAGGGGCUGCCUGGCCAUCAGCUGGGUGCCUUGGUUCUACUUCUUGUGGUCUUUCAUCCUUCAGCAGGGCACCCCGGGCAAAAGGGGGAACCCCAAAGAGCAUGCACUUUUUAAGCUUCUGCUUACGGCAUGUUAGCUAAUGUCCCAUUGGCCGGAGCAAACCCCAAGGCCGGCCAGAAUCAAGGGGUAGAGAAAUAGACUCUAUCUACCUCUUCAUGGGAGUUCCUGCAAGGACACGUUGUAUAGGAAUAUGGAAACAGGGAGGGGAAGACUUUGUGGCCAGUUUUAAAGUCAAGUUCCCCUCCUAUUUCAACCGUUCGCUGAACAGCGCUUACAACUUUUGUCAUGUUUACAUACCGUCCUUGUUAGUUUUCUUUAAAUCAACUUCAACUUAAACAAAAUACCUAUUUUAGCC
RNAcentral lists this long non-coding RNA (2380 nucleotides) under Equus caballus (horse). RNAcentral describes it as "lncRNA (ENSECAG00000052010.1)". The record is from RNAcentral. Lineage: Eukaryota; Metazoa; Chordata; Mammalia; Perissodactyla; Equidae.